GGAGUUAGCCGGUGCUUCUUCUGUGAGUGAUGUCCUUCCUGCCGGCUAUUAACCCGCAGGCCUUCUUCCUCACUGAAAGUGCUUUACAACCCGAAGGCCUUCUUCACACACGCGGCAUGGCUGGAUCAGGGUUGCCCCCAUUGUCCAAUAUUCCCCACUGCUGCCUCCCGUAGGAGUCUGGGCCGUGUCUCAGUCCCAGUGUGGCUGAUCAUCCUCUCAGACCAGCUACGGAUCGUCGCCUUGGUGAGCCGUUACCUCACCAACCAGCUAAUCCGACAUAGGCUCAUCCGAUAGCGCGAGGCCCGAAGGUCCCCCGCUUUCCCCCGUAGGGCGUAUGCGGUAUUAGCCUGGGUUUCCCCAGGUUAUCCCCCACUACCGGGCAGAUUCCUAUGCAUUACUCACCCGUCCGCCGCUCGCCACCAGGGAGCAAGCUCCCGUGCUGCCGCUCGACUUGCAUGUGUUAGGCCUGCCGCCAGCGUUCAAUCUGAGCCAGAAUCGAACCCUGA
This 506-nucleotide ribosomal RNA is filed under the name uncultured bacterium. RNAcentral describes it as "partial 16S ribosomal RNA". The record is from RNAcentral.